CGUAGGAUCCAAGCGUUGUCCGGAUUUACUGGGUGUAAAGGGUGCGCAGGCGGACUGGUUAGUUCGUGGUGAAAUCUCGCCGCUCAACGGCGAAACUGCCUUGAAUACUGCCAGUCUUGAAUUAGCGAGAGGUUCGUGGAAUUCCGAGUGUAGCAGUGAAAUGUGUAGAUAUUCGGAAGAACACCAGUGGCGAAGGCAGCGAACUGGCGCUAUAUUGACGCUCAGGCACGAAAGCAUGGGGAUCAAACAGGAUUAGAUACCCUGGUAGUCCAUGCCCUAAACGAUGAUCACUUGGUGUCGGCCGCAAGGUCGGUGCCGAAGCUAACGCGUUAAGUGAUCCACCUGGGGAGUACGCUCGCAAGGGUG
Molecule: ribosomal RNA, 366 nt
Filed under: uncultured organism
Description: bacterial SSU rRNA
Rfam family: Bacterial small subunit ribosomal RNA
Source: RNAcentral